CGCGGGGUGGAGCAGCCUGGUAGCUCGCAAGGCUCAUAACCUUGAGGUCCUGGGUUCAAAUCCCAGCCCCGCAACCA
This 77-nucleotide transfer RNA is filed under the name Verrucomicrobiota bacterium. RNAcentral describes it as "Verrucomicrobia bacterium (marine sediment metagenome) tRNA-Met". It matches the Rfam family "tRNA". From Rfam's summary of the family: Transfer RNA (tRNA) molecules are approximately 80 nucleotides in length. Lineage: Bacteria; Pseudomonadati; Verrucomicrobiota. The record is from RNAcentral. RNAcentral also lists the same sequence under 1 other name.